UACGUAGGGUCCGAGCGUUGUCCGGAAUUAUUGGGCGUAAAGAGCUCGUAGGCGGUUUGUCGUGUCUGCUGUGAAAUCCCGAGGCUCAACCUCGGGUCUGCAGUGGGUACGGGCAGACUGGAGUGCGGUAGGGGGAGAAUGGAAUUCCUGGUGUAGCGGUGGAAUGCGCAGAUAUCAGGAGGAACACCAACGGCGAAGGCAGCACUCUGGGCCGGUACUGACGCUGAGGAGCGAAAAGCGUGGGGGAGCAAACAGG
RNAcentral lists this ribosomal RNA (256 nucleotides) under uncultured bacterium. RNAcentral describes it as "partial 16S ribosomal RNA". It matches the Rfam family "Bacterial small subunit ribosomal RNA", at positions 524 to 776 of the family's 1533-position model. The record is from RNAcentral.